RNAcentral lists this ribosomal RNA (453 nucleotides) under uncultured bacterium. RNAcentral's name for it is "partial 16S ribosomal RNA". It matches the Rfam family "Bacterial small subunit ribosomal RNA", at positions 28 to 523 of the family's 1533-position model. The record is from RNAcentral.
GAUGAACGCUGGCGGCGUGCCUAAUACAUGCAAGUCGAGCGGUAACACUUCGGGUGACGAGCGGCGGACGGCAGAGUAACGCGUAGGAACGUACCCCGAAGUGAGGGAUAAGCACCGGAAACGGUGUCUAAUACCGCAUGUGAUCUUCGGAUUAAAGCUUCGGCGCUUUGGGAACGGCCUGCGUAUGAUUAGCUUGUUGGUAAGGUAAAAGCUUACCAAGGCGACGAUCAUUAGCUGGUCUGAGAGGAUGAUCAGCCUGACUGGGACUGAGACACGGCCCAGACUCCUACGGGAGGCAGCAGUAGGGAAUUUUCCACAAUGGGGGCAACCCUGAUGGAGCAACGCCGCGUGCAGGAUGAAGGCCUUAGGGUUGUAAACUGCUUUUCUCUGUGACGAUUAUGACGGUAGCAGAGGAAUAAGGACCGGCUAACUACGUGCCAGCCGCCGCUGUAA